UCCCCUGUAGCUCAAUUGGUAGAGCGAGCGGCUGUUAACCGCUAGGUUGCUGGUUCGAGUCCAGCCGGGGGAGC
Molecule: transfer RNA, 74 nt
Filed under: Phycisphaerales bacterium
Lineage: Bacteria; Pseudomonadati; Planctomycetota; Phycisphaerae; Phycisphaerales
Also listed under: 1 other name
Description: tRNA-Asn
Rfam family: tRNA
About the family: Transfer RNA (tRNA) molecules are approximately 80 nucleotides in length. Their secondary structure includes four short double-helical elements and three loops (D, anti-codon, and T loops). Further hydrogen bonds mediate the characteristic L-shaped molecular structure. tRNAs have two regions of fundamental functional importance: the anti-codon, which is responsible for specific mRNA codon recognition, and the 3' end, to which the tRNAs corresponding amino acid is attached (by aminoacyl-tRNA synthetases). tRNAs cope with the degeneracy of the genetic code in two manners: having more than one tRNA (with a specific anti-codon) for a particular amino acid; and 'wobble' base-pairing, i.e. permitting non-standard base-pairing at the 3rd anti-codon position.
Source: RNAcentral